Molecule: ribosomal RNA, 455 nt
Filed under: uncultured bacterium
Lineage: Bacteria
Description: bacterial SSU rRNA
Rfam family: Bacterial small subunit ribosomal RNA
Source: RNAcentral
UACGGAAGGCAGCAGUGGGGAAUAUUGCACAAUGGGCGCAAGCCUGAUGCAGCCAUGCCGCGUGUAUGAAGAAGGCCUUCGGGUUGUAAAGUACUUUCAGUCGUGAGGAAGGUGUUAAGGUUAAUAACCUUAGCAAUUGACGUUAGCGACAGAAGAAGCACCGGCUAACUCCGUGCCAGCAGCCGCGGUAAUACGGAGGGUGCGAGCGUUAAUCGGAAUUACUGGGCGUAAAGGGCACGCAGGCGGUUAAUUAAGUUGGAUGUGAAAUCCCCGGGCUUAACCUGGGAAUGGCAUUCAAGACUGGUUAGCUAGAGUCUUGUAGAGGGGGUAGAAUUCCAUGUGUAGCGGUGAAAUGCGUAGAGAUGUGGAGGAAAUACCGGUGGCGAAGGCGGCCCCUGGACAAAGGACUGACGCUCAUGUGCGAAAGCGUGGGGAGCAAACAGGGAUUAGAUACC